GCCGGCAGCUAGCUCUCUGCAACUCAGAUGGUCGCCCACAGAAGCUAAGCAGGGCUGCACCCAGUCAGUACCUGGAUGGGAGAUAACAUGGGAAUGCUAGGUUGCUGCCGGAA
RNAcentral lists this ribosomal RNA (113 nucleotides) under Danio rerio (zebrafish). Lineage: Eukaryota; Metazoa; Chordata; Actinopteri; Cypriniformes; Danionidae. The record is from RNAcentral.